CCCGCACAAGCGGUGGAGCAUGUGGUUUAAUUCGACGCAACGCGAAGAACCUUACCAGGGCUUGACAUCCCCUGACCGCGUAUGAAAGUACGUUUUCACCCUCGGGUGACAGGGAGACAGGUGGUGCAUGGUUGUCGUCAGCUCGUGUCGUGAGAUGUUGGGUUAAGUCCCGCAACGAGCGCAACCCCUACGUUUAGUUGCUAACGCGUGAAGGCGAGCACUCUAGACGAACUGCCGUUGACAAAACGGAGGAAGGUGGGAUGACGUCAAAUCAUCAUGCCCCUUAUGUUCUGGGCUACACACGUGCUACAAUGGCCGGUACAGACGGACGCAAAGCCGCGAGGUGGAGCAAAUCCUAAAAAGCCGGUCUCAGUUCGGAUUGCAGGCUGCAAUUCGCCUGCAUGAAGUCGGAAUCGCUAGUAAUCGCAGGUCAGCACGCUGCGGUGAAUACGUUCCCGGGCCUU
RNAcentral lists this ribosomal RNA (464 nucleotides) under uncultured Pelotomaculum sp. RNAcentral's name for it is "bacterial SSU rRNA". It matches the Rfam family "Bacterial small subunit ribosomal RNA", at positions 920 to 1382 of the family's 1533-position model. The record is from RNAcentral. Lineage: Bacteria; Bacillati; Bacillota; Clostridia; Eubacteriales; Desulfotomaculaceae.